UACGAAGGGGGCUAGCGUUGCUCGGAAUCACUGGGCGUAAAGCGCACGUAGGCGGAUUGCUAAGUCAGGGGUGAAAUCCUGGAGCUCAACUCCAGAACUGCCUUUGAUACUGGCGACCUUGAGUCCGGGAGAGGUGAGUGGAACUGCGAGUGUAGAGGUGAAAUUCGUAGAUAUUCGCAAGAACACCAGUGGCGAAGGCGGCUUACUGGUCCGGUACUGACGCUGAGGUGCGAAAGCGUGGGGAGCAAACAGG
This 253-nucleotide ribosomal RNA is filed under the name uncultured bacterium. RNAcentral describes it as "partial 16S ribosomal RNA". It matches the Rfam family "Bacterial small subunit ribosomal RNA", at positions 524 to 776 of the family's 1533-position model. The record is from RNAcentral.